CGAACCACGGCGGGAGAGUCCCCGCCCGUGCGGGGCGCCGUAGGAGCAACCCUCCCCGGGAAUCUCUCAGGCACCCGUACCGCCGUGGCGAG
RNAcentral lists this non-coding RNA (92 nucleotides) under Cellulomonas sp. RNAcentral describes it as "Glycine sequence". It matches the Rfam family "Glycine riboswitch aptamer". From Rfam's summary of the family: This family represents the bacterial glycine riboswitch. Glycine riboswitches usually consist of two metabolite-binding aptamers domains with similar structures in tandem. The aptamers cooperatively bind glycine to regulate the expression of downstream genes. The record is from RNAcentral. Lineage: Bacteria; Bacillati; Actinomycetota; Actinomycetes; Micrococcales; Cellulomonadaceae.